RNAcentral lists this long non-coding RNA (342 nucleotides) under Panax ginseng (ginseng). RNAcentral describes it as "long non-coding RNA (PGIN_LNC000636)". Lineage: Eukaryota; Viridiplantae; Streptophyta; Magnoliopsida; Apiales; Araliaceae. The record is from RNAcentral.
UUUGGUCACUUAAUAUGGGACACAAAACUUGUUCUGAUUUGUAGUAACAAAAUGGUUACUAAUACACUUAGGUUUAUUCCUUUUUGGCUUAUAAUUUGACAUUUGAUAACUAAAUGUUGUGGCGCCCCCAAAAUAGGUAUACAUCACUCAUUCUGAGUUGCCAAAUACAUGGUACAGAAACAAAUACAACUUCAGUAAUACAAUUGUCAUGCAAAAUACGACAACACAUAUACUGUGAGUUUGAAUACAAAUAUUGUCUAAUAGACAGUAUACAAACUCAAAAGGAGUCCUCAUUACAAUUAUUGAUACACUAUUUUACAAAAUAAUGAGGACUACUAAAAC